Molecule: long non-coding RNA, 347 nt
Filed under: Bos indicus x Bos taurus (hybrid cattle)
Lineage: Eukaryota; Metazoa; Chordata; Mammalia; Artiodactyla; Bovidae
Description: lncRNA (ENSBIXG00005012547.1)
Source: RNAcentral
CCCACAGGAAGUGACGGCAGAGGGGCUGCGGUGGAGGGGCGGGGCCUAGCGGAGCCGGGAGCAGGUAUCGCGAGAGCGCGAGAGGUGGCUCUGGACCUCGUGAGUCUUCCCGAGAUUCUCCGGGUACAAAGACUUCCGUGUGGCUGGGAAACUACCAGAAUGCACGCUGAUGAAAGUACAUUCAGGAAGUACAGAGACAGUCCUGUGGUCUGAAGCUUUCAUUUCUGAAGUCCCAUCAGUGUAUCUGCCUCUUCACAGAUGAGAAGGCUGUAUUAUCUUUGUUCAAGGUAAGCCCUUAAUGUUAUCUUUUUCAGUCAAAUCUAGCCACUUAACCACUUUGAGCACCG